GAUGAACGCUGGCGGCGUGCCUAAUACAUGCAAGUCGAGCGAACAGAUGAGGAGCUUGCUCCUCUGACGUUAGCGGCGGACGGGUGAGUAACACGUGGAUAACCUACCUAUAAGACUGGGAUAACUUCGGGAAACCGGAGCUAAUACCGGAUAAUAUAUUGAACCGCAUGGUUCAAUAGUGAAAGACGGUUUUGCUGUCACUUAUAGAUGGAUCCGCGCCGCAUUAGCUAGUUGGUAAGGUAACGGCUUACCAAGGCAACGAUGCGUAGCCGACCUGAGAGGGGGAUCGGCCACACUGGAACUGAGACACGGUCCAGACUCCUACGGGAGGCAGCAGUAGGGAAUCUUCCGCAAAGGGCGAAAGCUUGACGGAGCAACGCCGCGUGAGUGAUGAAGGUCUUCGGAUCGUAAAACUCUGUUAUUAGGGAAGAACAAAUGUGUAAGUAACUAUGCACGUCUUGACGGUACCGAAUCAGAAAGCCACGGCUAACUACGUG
Molecule: ribosomal RNA, 497 nt
Filed under: uncultured bacterium
Lineage: Bacteria
Description: partial 16S ribosomal RNA
Rfam family: Bacterial small subunit ribosomal RNA
Source: RNAcentral